This 439-nucleotide ribosomal RNA is filed under the name uncultured bacterium. RNAcentral's name for it is "partial 16S ribosomal RNA". It matches the Rfam family "Bacterial small subunit ribosomal RNA", at positions 338 to 795 of the family's 1533-position model. The record is from RNAcentral.
CCUACGGGAGGCUGCAGUGGGGGAUAUUGCACAAUGGGGGAAAGCCUGAUGCAGCAACGCCGCGUGAGCGAUGAAGGCCUUCGGGUCGUAAAGCUCUGUCCUCAAGGAAGAUAAUGACGGUACUUGUGGAGGAAGCCCCGGCUAACUACGUGUCAGCAGCCGCGGUAAUACGUAGGGGGCUAGCGUUAUCCGGAAGUACUGGGGGUAAAGGGUGCGUAGGUGGGUUCUUAAGUCAGAGGUGAAAGGCGACGGCUCAACCGCAGGAAGCCUUUGAAACUGGGAAACUGGAGUGCAGGAGAGGAGAGUGGAAUUCCUAGUGUAGCGGUGAAAUGCGUAGAUAUUAGGAGGAACACCAGUGGCGAAGGCGGCUCUCUGGACUGUAACUGACACUGAGGCACGAAAGCGUGGGGAGCAAACAGGAUUAGAUACCCUAGUAGUC